Schistosoma rodhaini is the source of this 46-nucleotide non-coding RNA. The record is from Rfam. NCBI's taxonomy places the organism in Eukaryota, Metazoa, Platyhelminthes, Trematoda, Strigeidida, Schistosomatidae.
UCCCUGCUGAGGAGUCCUAUAAUAGAACGAAACGGCUGUCCAGUGC